Molecule: ribosomal RNA, 555 nt
Filed under: Alphaproteobacteria bacterium
Lineage: Bacteria; Pseudomonadati; Pseudomonadota; Alphaproteobacteria
Description: bacterial LSU rRNA
Rfam family: Bacterial large subunit ribosomal RNA
Source: RNAcentral
UCUCAAGUAUAAUAAGAGCAUAUGGUGGAUGCCUUGGCGAAUAGAGGCGAUGAAGGACGUGUUACGCUGCGAUAAGCGUCGGGGAGCUGCGAAAAAGCUUUGAUCCGACGAUUUCCGAAUGGGGAAACCCGACUAUUUAUAGUCAUCCCUAACUGAAUACAUAGGUUAGGGAAGCGAACUCAGGGAACUGAAACAUCUAAGUACCUGAAGGAAAGGACAUCAACCGAGACUCCGUUAGUAGUGGCGAGCGAACGCGGACCAGGCCAGUGGCCGGUUAAUAAAAAUUAGAAUGCAAUGGAAAGUGCAACCGUAGUGGGUGAUAGUCCCGUAUAAGUAAAUUAUUUUCCGGUCCUCGAGUAGGGCGGAACACGUGAAAUUCUGUCUGAACAUGGGGGGACCACCCUCCAAGCCUAAGUACUCCUAUUCGACCGAUAGUGAACAAGUACCGUGAGGGAAAGGUGAAAAGCACCCCGAUAAGGGGAGUGAAAUAGAUCCUGAAACUGUAUGCUUACAAUCAGUUGGAGGGGCCAUGCGCCCUGACAGCGUACCUUUUGU